UUUACGGCCCUUUUCAGGGCCACCCAAAUUUAUUCCGAUUCUGAA
Molecule: non-coding RNA, 45 nt
Organism: Biomphalaria glabrata
Lineage: Eukaryota; Metazoa; Mollusca; Gastropoda; Planorbidae
Source: Rfam